UAGGGAAUCUUCGGCAAUGGGGGGAACCCUGACCGAUCAACGCCGCGUGAGUGAAGAAGGUUUUCGGAUCGUAAAGCUCUGUUGUUAAGGAAGAACGAGUGUGAGAAUGGAAAGUUCAUGCUGUGACGGUACUUAACCAGAAAGGGACGGCUAACUACGUGCCAGCAGCCGCGGUAAUACGUAGGUGGCAAGCGUUGUCCGGAAUUAUUGGGCGUAAAGCGCGCGCAGGUGGUUUAGAAAGUCUGAUGUGAAAGCCCACGGCUCAACCGUGGAGGGUCAUUGGAAACUAAUAAACUUGAGUGCAGGAGAGAAAAGUGGAAUUCCUAGUGUAGCGGUGAAAUGCGUAGAGAUUAGGAGGAACACCGGUGGCGAAAGCGGCUUUUUGGCCUGCAACUGACACUGAGGCGCGAAAGCGUGGGGAGCAAACAGG
Molecule: ribosomal RNA, 430 nt
Filed under: Verrucomicrobiota bacterium
Lineage: Bacteria; Pseudomonadati; Verrucomicrobiota
Description: Verrucomicrobia bacterium partial 16S ribosomal RNA
Rfam family: Bacterial small subunit ribosomal RNA
Source: RNAcentral